Molecule: ribosomal RNA, 468 nt
Filed under: uncultured Magnetospirillum sp.
Lineage: Bacteria; Pseudomonadati; Pseudomonadota; Alphaproteobacteria; Rhodospirillales; Rhodospirillaceae
Description: bacterial SSU rRNA
Rfam family: Bacterial small subunit ribosomal RNA
Source: RNAcentral
AGCAAUACGGAGUGGCGCACGGGUGAGUAACGCGUGGAUACCUGCCCCUUGGUGGGGGAUAACGCCGGGAAACUGGCGCUAAUACCGCAUACGCCCUUAGGGGGAAAGAUUUAUCGCCGAGGGAGGGGUCCGCGUCCGAUUAGCUAGUUGGUGAGGUAACGGCUCACCAAGGCGACGAUCGGUAGCUGGUCUGAGAGGAUGAUCAGCCACACUGGGACUGAGACACGGCCCAGACUCCUACGGGAGGCAGCAGUGGGGAAUAUUGGACAAUGGGGGCAACCCUGAUCCAGCCAUGCCGCGUGAGUGAUGAAGGCCUUAGGGUUGUAAAGCCCUUUCGGCGGGGACGAUGAUGACGGUACCCGCAGAAGAAGCCCCGGCUAACUUCGUGCCAGCAGCCGCGGUAAUACGAAGGGGGCUAGCGUUGUUCGGAAUUACUGGGCGUAAAGGGCGCGUAGGCGGUCUUGCACG